UCUGUGCCUUCACUGGUUAUCCAGUUAGGAGACAGGGGCUUUGAGGUGCCUAGCAUGAGCUGAUUAAUCCUAGGAUUGGUUGAUAGGCAGCCUCCCUGUCCUCUACAUUCCUAAGACCACACUUCUGUGUUUCCAUCCUUCUGGGCAGCCCAGGCCAUUCCAGAGGGGAAGGUCCCAAGCAGGAGCCCUCAUUAGAAUCACGGGGUUGGGAGAAAACAGACAUCCUCUCAAUACAGAAUGCUGGGCACUAUCCCAGUUUCUGAUUUACUGGGUUUCUCUGGAGCUCAAGAGCUUGUUUAUCUGAAUCUGUAAUUCUGACAUGGUGCUGAUUUUACCAUCCGGGAACCACGCUAUGGGAAAUCUAUCCUUCUAGAGCCGGUAGUUCAGAUUAUCUGAGCAAAUCAGACCCUUCAGUGACAUCCUGCAGGAAAGGAUGGUCUUUCCAUGGCACAAAGUACUUUCCCUUGCUUUGGUUCCCCUGAGCCCCGGCAGCUGUACGGAGCAGGGCUUUGAAGAAAAGAGAGGUUGCUUUCUGUUGCGAAUGGUGACUGUGUCUGAACAGGGGACCAGCACAGGAAGGUAUCCUUUAUCUACCGUGCCUCCACCAGAGCAGAGUCUCUCAGCAGCAGACUACUGGAUAUCCAUGUCAAUGCCCUAUGAAAGUGCGCACAGGGGUACAAGCAGAGGGCCGCAGGGCCUUUCCUGCCCACCCUGGGGUGAAAAAGCCCGAUGAAGCUGACGUCUCUAUAAAGUCAAAUUCCGUGAUCCCAAAUCAGAGAAACUGCUGGGGACUAAGGCACCAGAAGGGGGAAAAAAAA
Peromyscus eremicus (cactus mouse) is the source of this 818-nucleotide long non-coding RNA. RefSeq lists it as uncharacterized. The record is from RefSeq and is a predicted model, not a curated record. The transcript has 3 exons. Lineage: Eukaryota; Metazoa; Chordata; Mammalia; Rodentia; Cricetidae.